AACGGCCAUACCAUGCUGAAUAUACCGGUUCUCGUAGUUUAUAUAGAUCACCGAAGUCAAGUAUCAUUGGGCGCGGUCAGUACUUGGGUGGGUGACCACCUGGGAACACCGCGUGCC
Molecule: ribosomal RNA, 117 nt
Filed under: Caerostris darwini
Lineage: Eukaryota; Metazoa; Arthropoda; Arachnida; Araneae; Araneidae
Source: RNAcentral